Molecule: transfer RNA, 72 nt
Filed under: Stegodyphus mimosarum
Lineage: Eukaryota; Metazoa; Arthropoda; Arachnida; Araneae; Eresidae
Rfam family: tRNA
About the family: Transfer RNA (tRNA) molecules are approximately 80 nucleotides in length.
Source: Rfam by way of RNAcentral
GCCUUCGUAGUGUAAUGGUUAGCACACUUGAGGCGUAUUCGAGAGGUCCAGGUUCGAGUCCCGGUGAGGGCA